GACGAACGCUGGCGGCGUGCUUAACACAUGCAAGUCGAACGGAAAGGCCUGCUUUCCCUUGUGGAUUGCGGGUGCUCGAGUGGCGAACGGGUGAGUAACACGUGAGUGAUCUGCCCCCAACUUGGGUAUAAGCCUGGGAAACUGGGUCUAAUUCCCGAUAGGACUGCAGGGUGGUGCCUGUGGUGGAAAACGAUUUUCUAGUGGUUGGGGAUGAGCUCGCGGCCUAUCAGCUUGUUGGUGGGGUAAUGGCCUACCAAGGCGGCGACGGGUAGCCGGCCUGAGAGGGUGGACGGCCGCAUUGGGACUGAGAUACGGCCCAGACUCCUACGGGAGGCAGCAGUGGGGAAUAUUGCACAAUGGGCGGAAGCCUGAUGCAGCGACGCCGCGUGGGGGAUGACGGCCUUCGGGUUGUAAACUCCUUUCGACCGCGAGGAAGCCACCUGGUUGGAAGGGUGGUGACGGUAGUGGUAGAAGAAGCACCGGCUAACUACGUG
RNAcentral lists this ribosomal RNA (494 nucleotides) under uncultured bacterium. RNAcentral describes it as "partial 16S ribosomal RNA". It matches the Rfam family "Bacterial small subunit ribosomal RNA", at positions 28 to 507 of the family's 1533-position model. The record is from RNAcentral.